GGUGGCUCAGUGGUAGAGUGCUUGCCUUGCAUGCAUGAGGCCCUGGAUUCGAUCCUCAGUACCA
RNAcentral lists this transfer RNA (64 nucleotides) under Dipodomys ordii (Ord's kangaroo rat). It matches the Rfam family "tRNA". From Rfam's summary of the family: Transfer RNA (tRNA) molecules are approximately 80 nucleotides in length. Their secondary structure includes four short double-helical elements and three loops (D, anti-codon, and T loops). Further hydrogen bonds mediate the characteristic L-shaped molecular structure. tRNAs have two regions of fundamental functional importance: the anti-codon, which is responsible for specific mRNA codon recognition, and the 3' end, to which the tRNAs corresponding amino acid is attached (by aminoacyl-tRNA synthetases). tRNAs cope with the degeneracy of the genetic code in two manners: having more than one tRNA (with a specific anti-codon) for a particular amino acid; and 'wobble' base-pairing, i.e. permitting non-standard base-pairing at the 3rd anti-codon position. The record is from Rfam by way of RNAcentral. Lineage: Eukaryota; Metazoa; Chordata; Mammalia; Rodentia; Heteromyidae.